CAGAUAAUUUGAUGCCAAACGCGGUAGCUCUAUCAUCACCUCCCUUCCCCAUCUACCACCAACAAAUAUCGAUUCACACACGCACAAACCCUAUCGAAGGAGCAAACCCAAAUCAACAACCCAACCCUACUCCUCUUUUCCGAUCCGAUCCUUUCCGAGUAAAAGUUCAAAAUGAGUCGUGCCCAGGAUGCAAACCGAUCAUUCUUCCCUUUUGGAAAUCCUUUUAGGAUGAUAUCCCCUAAAGGCUCUAAAGUUUCUCAUCAGCUUUUGUUAGUAUUACAAGCUUUCGAAGCAACUUUUGAAGAGAGGCUGACAAGGCUUAUUCCCGAGAGCAAGGAUGAGAUCCUUAGUUUGUCUUGGAUGACUUUGGCGAUGCGGUUACUCUGCGAGAGUCACAGUGACAUUAAAACCCUCACAACAGAGCUUGAGCUUCCUGUUAAUGAUUGGGAUGCGAAAUGGAUAGAUGUGUACUUUGACAUUAGCAUGAAGUUGCUGGAUAUAUGCAAUGCAUUCAGCUCCGAAUUAUCACGAAUGAGUCAGGGUCAACUUUUACUUCAGUGUGCGUUGCACAAUUUAGGUUCCUCCUCUUCAGAGCAGUAUGAUCGGGCAUGUUCUUCAUUUGAUGGUUGGAAGCAGCAUAUUAGUUCAGGAAACCCUAGGAUUGAGAAAUGUGGAAGCAUUUUGGAUGGUCUUCUGGGGUCACUUGAUCUUCCUAAGGUUAAAAAGUCUGCAAAAGGAAAGGUUUUGGUGCAAGCUAUGUAUGGAGUCAAGGUUCUCACAGUAUUUGUAUGCAGUGUGUUUGCUGCAGCCUUUUCAGGGUCUACAAAGAAUAUGUUGGACUUGGACGUGGCCGAUGUAUAUUCUUGGGCUCCGACCUUUAAAAGGUUGCAAAAUCUUGUAAAUGAGGAAAUUAGAGUUAGGUUUUCGUGUGGAAGAUUUGCUGUGUUGAAUGAGUUGGAAUCUGUUGAUUCCUCUUUAAAGGAAUUGUAUCCUAUUAUCCGGGGUGUUGUAGAUCCCACUGAGAUGAAAUUGCUUCCGGAGAUUGUUGGGCAAUUAGGUAGAUCAUCGGGGAAUCUUUCGCAGGGACUAGAUCUUCUUGCAAAGGAAGUUGAUAGCUUUUUCCAAGUGGUUUUGACCGGUCGUGAUGCCUUGCUAUCAAAUCUGAGGUCGGGUGCUACUGUCAUUCACAGCAACGUCGGUGUAACGGAAAUGCAGAGAUAGUCAAUUGAACGUGUUGCAAACUAACUCUGAGGCAGAUAAAGAACUGGUGAUACAUACGAAAGACAAGAAGUCUCAGAUUGAGUUAUGAGCUUCGACUCUCUGUUCUUGAACACGGGCGUUCUAUUUGGACUUGAUCGUCGGUAUUUAAUUCUGGAGUAUUGCGUGUUAUUUAUUAUAUUGUAUAUCUUUAUCAUCUGAUAUUUUGAAACUAUCGGAUCAGUCACUUUACCUUCAAAUCAAGGUGCCACAUCUAAUUCUGAUCUCCUGUCACCUAACUCAGAACUUCUUACAAUUAUGCAUUGGGGACCAAGUUUCAUCACGCUCGAUAAGCUCCUCAGAAUAUCAGGUGGUAGAGAAAUCAAAGAUUUGGACCUCUUUAAUAAAUUGAUAGCAUUCUCUAAAGAUAAUCUGGGAGAGCUCUGCAAGCUGAAGAGAGCAGAGACCAAGAUUUGUCCAAGAUGAUCUUUUAUGAAUCGAAAAUGGAGAAGUAAUCUAGUCAAAUUCUCCUAGCGAAUAAACCAAGCCACAUGCAUGCUAUGGAUCUUGUGAACAUCUUGGUCUUGCAACAGCCUCUUCAACAUUUGCUUAUUUUUUUCUCAUGUUUUUAAUUUCUGGUUGAAAUUAAGUUACUUGAGGCAACUUUUUUGCUGGAGCAUUUUAACUUGAUACUUGAACAUAAAGCUGUGUUAAAUAUAUUUCCAAGAAUUUUAUCAACCAUGCGAACUUUAUUCUA
This is an RNA transcript of Vigna angularis (adzuki bean), 1954 nucleotides long. It is a transcript of the gene named protein BPS1, chloroplastic, with no coding region annotated. The transcript is spliced from 5 exons. The record is from RefSeq and is a predicted model, not a curated record. NCBI's taxonomy places the organism in Eukaryota, Viridiplantae, Streptophyta, Magnoliopsida, Fabales, Fabaceae.